This 444-nucleotide ribosomal RNA is filed under the name uncultured Caldilineaceae bacterium. Its description in RNAcentral is "bacterial SSU rRNA". It matches the Rfam family "Bacterial small subunit ribosomal RNA", at positions 923 to 1382 of the family's 1533-position model. Lineage: Bacteria; Bacillati; Chloroflexota; Caldilineae; Caldilineales; Caldilineaceae. The record is from RNAcentral.
GCACAAGCAGCGGAGCGUGUGGUUAAUUCGAUGCUACACGAAGAACCUUACCUGGGCUUGACAUGUACGUCGUAGGGAACCGAAAGGUAACCGAUCCUUCGGGAAGCGUACACAGGUGCUGCAUGGCUGUCGUCAGCUCGUGCCGUGAGGUGUUCGGUUAAGUCCGACAACGAGCGCAACCCUUGUUGCCAGUUAUACUUUACUGGCGAGACUGCUGGCAUAUAACCAGAGGAAGUGGGAUGACGUCAAGUCAGUAUGGCCUUUAUGUCCAGGGCUACACACACGCUACAAUGGCCGGUACAGAGGGUAGCCAAGCCGCGAGGCGGAGCCAAUCCCAGAAAGCCGGUCUCAGUUCAGAUUGCAGGCUGCAACCCGCCUGCAUGAAGUCGGAGUUGCUAGUAACCGCAGGUCAGCUAUACUGCGGUGAAUACGUUCCCGGGUCUU